AUCAGUCUCCCCGCGGCGGGGAAGCAGUUCGUGUGUGCGAUUCCGCGUCGGCUCGCCCCGCGGCCUCCGACCGCUCUGCGUCGCAAACGAAUAUUUUUAGAUAGCGCGAAUAAUUUAUUCGUAAGUCGGUGAUCGCGCGCACUUUUGCGGAUACCGGAAUCGACGCAUGCGGGUCCGUGCAUUUCGUUCGCCGCAAGGAGGCAGCCGGUGGAGACGUCCCGAUAGAAUCGAUGCGAAAUAUUGCGAUGUAGAGAAAACUGGAUUUGUUUCUUGUAAAGAAAAUCCAACAAAGCUGCACUGAUAUAGUGAUUCGGGAGGCGCGAGGCGGGCGAGGAACGAUGGUGUGCGAGAUGAGGCUGAGUCAGCAUGAUGUCAUAUGGUAUGCAGAUAAUUGGAGCGUCCCGGCGCACGUCACAUCCCAUUCCCGCCGCAUACUUCACCCAAUCGAGUGAUGACAAAUCCAUUCACAUUAGCGACUCUAUUGUGCGUAACUGGUCUGUUUAGAAUUAAUUUCUCCCAUACUGUAACGCUAUAUUUGUAUUUAAUUUAUAAUGAUGUUGCUGUAAGUUAGUUUUAGGCAAUUUAAAUAAGUGACAGAAACAAAUGAAGACUAACGACAAACGAAGUUAUGCGUAAGAAGAAGAAAAGAAGACAAAGAAGAAGAAAGGAAUUACGAAACUGGUUUUCAUAAUGGUUUGACAGAUUGUUUUAUAUUCUGAGAUCAUUGUGAAAGCUGAUUUUGUUCCUAAGUCGAUACAGAAAACAUCUAGACAGCCAUAUCAGAAGACGCAAGAUGCAACAAGAAAACUUCUACUGAAUUUUUUUUGAAAUUUUUGUUGUGUUUAUUAUGUAAUUGUAUUUUAAUUUUAACUAAAUAUUAUGUGAUUAAUUUUGCAGUGCA
Long non-coding RNA from Melitaea cinxia (Glanville fritillary), 901 nucleotides. RefSeq lists it as uncharacterized. Lineage: Eukaryota; Metazoa; Arthropoda; Insecta; Lepidoptera; Nymphalidae. The transcript is spliced from 3 exons. The record is from RefSeq and is a predicted model, not a curated record.